This 253-nucleotide ribosomal RNA is filed under the name uncultured bacterium. RNAcentral's name for it is "partial 16S ribosomal RNA". It matches the Rfam family "Bacterial small subunit ribosomal RNA", at positions 524 to 776 of the family's 1533-position model. The record is from RNAcentral.
UCCGUAGGUGGCAAGCGUUGUCCGGAAUUAUUGGGCGUAAAGCGCGCGCAGGUGGUUCCUUAAGUCUGAUGUGAAAGCCCACGGCUCAACCGUGGAGGGUCAUUGGAAACUGGGGAACUUGAGUGCAGAAGAGGAAAGUGGAAUUCCAAGUGUAGCGGUGAAAUGCGUAGAGAUUUGGAGGAACACCAGUGGCGAAGGCGACUUUCUGGUCUGUAACUGACACUGAGGCGCGAAAGCGUGGGGAGCGAACAGG